GAUAGAUGCUCUUAUAUAUGGACUUUCAUUACUUGAAAAUUCAAUAACCGUUUUUAGUCAUGAAGAAGAUAUUCAGUGCGGCUGUCUUUUACGCAAUAGCCAACUUCAAGUGCUCUUUCUUUGGAUUUGAAAAAAUAAAUUUUGUUAUUGCCUUUCCUCAUGAUAAGAACUGAUUUUAUUUGAUGUCAUAGCCCAACAGAUGCUGGAAUGACGAGGUCAGUCAUACAUUAAUAAACAGUCUCUAAUACACAUGUAACCAAUGUAUCUGAUACAUAAAGAUAUGUAUCAGAUACAUGCAAUAACAUUAAAUCAUCAGUAUAAAUGGCAUUCUAAACUAAAUUCUUACAUGUGUUAACACUUAUUUAUCAUUUUAUAGAAUUAACUAUUGCUUAUGUUGUGCAGCACAUCGAUGUAAUAUUAUACUACCUAAGAAGUCUAAAAUAUAGUUCGGUAAUCAGUUUAUAUAUGCAACAAUAAAUUAUAUCUUCAAAACUUAUAUCGAGGUGGCAUACGGACAAUAUUAUCACAUUUUGGCUGAAAUUUCUACACAAAGAGAGAUGUCACGUGCCGUUGUUGUAUAUUCUCAUGAGAAGUCCGUGAAGAACAUAAUCAAAGGUUACACAAUAUCGCUGGUUUGCCAUUGCAUUUGGUAGAUGAGGUAUAUAUCUCCAUAAACUGUGAUAGUAAUUUUCAUUGGAUGCUGGUUGUUGUUGUAUUGAGAUAUAGGUCUAUACGCGUGUAUGAUUCAUCAUCUAGAUCAAGAAAAAAAAUCCCUUUCCCAGAUAUUCAAAAGUUAGCAGUAAUGCUUCCAACCUACCUCCAGAAUAGUGGGUUUCUUGAGCAUACCAAAUAUAUCGAUUGGUCAAUUCUUGAUUCGUAUAAGGGCAAAUCUACCGACUAUUUGCUUGAACCACAUCACCCUUUUUGGGUUGAAUAUGUUCAAGGCAUUGGACAACAUGGAAGUGAUAAAUUUGAUGGAAUUCCUAUCCCGUCAACUGCAUUAUAGGCAGAUUACCUCCGCUCAAGAUACGCAUCACUCUUAUGGAAUUAUGAAUAUGGAAAGGCAAAAGAGGUUAUGUUAGUGAAAACUACGAUCCUCCAAAGCUCAAGAGUGAUUUCAUAUUUCAUGCUGAAGAAGAAAUGGUCAAUGUCGAGUAGUUGUUUGAUCUUGGUACUAGUAGAAUGGAAGUUUUUCUUUUGAUAGUAAUAUUGAAAUUUAGAGUAGUUAGGUUACUGUUAGUUAACAUUGCUUUGUAUAAGUACUAUGGCAUACUAUUUCGAACAACUAUUAUUUUAAUCUUUUUUUUUAUGCAAUUACUUAUCAAA
Molecule: long non-coding RNA, 1326 nt
Organism: Solanum dulcamara
Lineage: Eukaryota; Viridiplantae; Streptophyta; Magnoliopsida; Solanales; Solanaceae
Exons: 2
Source: RefSeq, a predicted model, not a curated record